GAGAGGGGCUUCAACUAAAAUCAUAAUUCCUCUGAUCUUCUUCUUCAAUCGCUUUGUUGGUGUUGCUUCUUCUUCGAUUACAUAGUUGUUGCUACUAAUCAACAUCAGUCUACUAAUCAAUUCCCAUCAUCUUCAAUUCAACAUCAGUCUACUAAUCAAUUCCCAUCAUCUUCAAUCAACAUCAUCAUUGAGAUAAUUUGAGGUUAGCUCUCUCUCUCUCUCUCUCUCUCUCUCUCUCUCUCUCUCUCUCUCUCUCUCUCUCUCUCUCUCUCUCUCAUUCCUAGAAUCUUUGUUCAUUCCUUCAUCGAUUUUAAUAACCAAAAGUCCGAAAAAAUAAAUCUAUAAUAUCAGCAUUGAACACUUCAUCAAUAUCUUCAAUUUUUGUUCAUUCCAUCUCUCUAAAUAUCUUGCACUUGUUUAUUCCUUCAUCAAUUAUGAAUCUACUAUAAUAUGAACACAUGUUCUUUCCUUCAUCAAUAAUAAAUCUACUGUAAUAUGAAUCUACUGUAAAAAUGAUUAUGAAUCUACUGUAAUAUUUUAAUUGAUUAUGCAUCUACUUGUUUUAAUUGUUAUGCAUCUACUGAAAUAAUUGAUUAUGAUUUUCUUUUUGCAGUACUGUCUAAAUGGCUUCUACUUAUUUUAACUCAAAAAAUAUUUCUUUGCAACCCAAGUCUACUGUAGUAAUAUUUGCUCCUGCCUCUGUGAGUAGCUUUGCUCCUACCUCUGCGAGUGGCUCUGCUCCAGAUUCAGCGAGUGACUCAGUCCCUCAAUCUGGUAAGAAAAGAUCAAUAGCUUGGCUUCAUUUUACUGAGGUUAAAUACUCUAAGCCGAAAAAGGCUACAUGUAACUAUUGUGCGACACUGUAUGCUUGUGAAGGAAAGUCUAAUGGCACUACUAAUAUGAAAGAUCAUAUCCUUAAAGGUAAAUGUCACAAAUAUGUUUAUCCCACACCUAAUUCUAAACGACUCUAGAUUGCAAACUAACCAAAGAUGGAAAACCACAAAUUUGUGGAAGGUGAGGGGUUUAGCGAAUUCGUGAAAAUUUUACAACCCAAGAUUAUCUUGCCUUUUCGUCAAACCAUUGCUAGGGAUUGCCUUAACUUUUUUCUAAAAGAAAAAAAAAGACUUUAAAGAAUCCUUUGAAAGGUAAACAGUAUGUCUCACAACCGAUACAUGGACUUCAAUCCAAAACUUAAAUUACAUGGUUCUCACGGCCCAUUUUAUUGAUAGUGAUUGGAAAUUGCACAAAAGAAUCUUAUAUUUUUGUCAAGUUCCAAACCACAAGGGUGAGACCAUUGGUAAGCUAGUAGAGAAGUGUUUGCAAGAUUGGGAUUUUGGUAGUAUUUUUACAAUUACUGUUGAUAAUGCAAGUUCUAAUAAUGUUGCCAUUGAUUACUUGAAGAUAAACACAAGCCAUUGGGAAGGGACUAUUUUAGGACACAAACAGUUGCACUUGAGAUGUUGCGCACAUAUACUUAAUCAUGUUGUUUCCGAUGGUUUAGAGUUAGUAGAUGAGAUGGUCUUGAAAGUUCGUCAUGCGGUUAGAUUUGUGAGGUCUUCCCCUAGUAGGUUUGUACUAUUCAACAAAUGUGUGCAAGAAGCCAAAAUUACUUGUGAUAAAUUGUUAUGCUGAGAUGUUCCAACUAGAUGGAACUCUACUUACAUGAUGCUUGAUGCAGCGGAGAAGUUUAAACUUCCUUUCAAACGAUUGGAUGGUAAUGGACAUUACAAAAAAUAUUUUGCGGAUGAACGAUUUGGGAAAGACAAGGUUAUUUUGUCACCUCCUAUUGUUUUUGAUUGGGUGAAUGUUCGAGAAUUUGUGAAGUUUUUGAAAGUGUUUUACAAUGCCACAUUACGAGUCUUCUGUUCUUUAUGUUACAUCUAAUGUUUUCCUUAAUGAACUUUACUUCAUUAAGUAUAGAUUGUCUAAGUUUGCUAAUAGUAUGGAUGAUCGGUUAAGUACUAUGGGCAUGGCUAUGCAAAAGAAAUAUGAUAAGUAUUGGAGCUUGGAUCGUGUUAAUAUUUUGUUGUACAUUAUUGUUGUGGUGUUUGAUCCUCGAAGGAAAAUGGAAUAUGUAUCAUUUUAUUUUAAGGAGUUGUAUGGUGUCUCACAAGCAAAGCUUAUGGUUGAUAAGGUGAAUCGUGAAUUGAUUGAGUUGUAUGAUUUGUAUGCAACAUUUAAUCCUAGUUUAUAUGUACCAACACAAUCACAAGGUGAAACAUCAAGAGGAGUGGAAGAUGGCGACGACGAAGAAGAUGUGGAUGCAAUAGUUUCAAGAUUUCAAAAGCAUUUGGAAGAUAAAGAAAACUUGGAUAGCAAAUCCGAGGUUGAGAGGUAUUUGGGAGAUCAUUGUGAAAAGAGUGGAUAUAUCUUUGAUAUUUUGGAUUGGUGGAAGAACAAUUCCACUAGGUAUAAAGUUCUCUCUCAAAUAGCGAUUCUUGUGUCUUCGGUUGCCCUUGAAAAUGCAUUUAGCACGAGAGGUCGAGUACUUGACCCAUUCCGUAGUUCUUUAGCUCCAAGUACGGUGGAAACACUCAUUUGUACUCAAGAUUAGUUGUGUGCUGCUUCAAUCGCAAUUAAUCUUCGACAAUUAAAAUAUUUUAGUUAAUUUGAACAUUGUUUUAUCGUUUAUAUGUUAACACAUGUAUUGUUUAUUUUUUGUUGUAGAAUUUUUUGGAUCAAUGCCAUAUUCAAAUGUUCCUACGCAAGUGGAAGAUGAUGUUGAUGAGGGGUAUUGCAGAUUCUACUGUGAUGGUAAUGCACUGGUGAUUUUUAUUUUUUCUUUUGAUGGGAAAACCUUGAGGCGACGAAUAAGUGAAAGAAUGUAUGCAGGUUGUUUUAAUUUUUCAUGUCUCAAUGUGUGUGAAGUGUGAACUGUGAGAUAUACACAGUUGAAGUUAUGAGCUAUUUUGAGUUUUAUGCACUGUACUACUAUAGCCUGUAGGUGUGAACUGUGAACUAUGAUGCAAUAUUUUUAGAAUUUUAGUUUUAUACUUUUAUUUAAUAUGACCA
Molecule: long non-coding RNA, 3012 nt
Filed under: Aquilegia coerulea
Lineage: Eukaryota; Viridiplantae; Streptophyta; Magnoliopsida; Ranunculales; Ranunculaceae
Description: long non-coding RNA (ACOE_LNC002071)
Source: RNAcentral